This 531-nucleotide ribosomal RNA is filed under the name Surirella helissella. RNAcentral describes it as "eukaryotic LSU rRNA". It matches the Rfam family "Eukaryotic large subunit ribosomal RNA", at positions 31 to 662 of the family's 3401-position model. The record is from RNAcentral. Lineage: Eukaryota; Bacillariophyta; Bacillariophyceae; Surirellales; Surirellaceae.
AAUUUAAGCAUAUAAAUAAGCGGAGGAAAAGAAACUAACUAGGAUUGGUCUAGUAACGGCGAGUGAAGCGCCAAUAGCCCAGGCUGUGAAUUGGCACUUGUGUCGAAUUGUGGAAUGCUGGUCAGUUUGUCCAACUUGCGGACCAAGUCCCCUGGAAUGGGGCAGCACAGAGGGUGAGACUCCCGUUYGUCUGCAGGUGCGAAAAUUGGCCGAAGAGUCGAGUUGUUUGGGAUUGCAGCUCUAAGUGGGUGGUAAAUUCCAUCCAAGGCUAAAUACUGGUGAGAGACCGAUAGCAUACAAGUACCGUGAGGGAAAGAUGCAAAGCCGCGCGAGAGCGCUGUCAAAGAGUACCUGAAAUUGCUGAAAAGGAAGCGAAGGAAACCAGUGCUAGCCAUCCCGCACUUCCCCAACUGCUUGCAGCUGGGGCGCUGCGGCUGGCGUUGUCUGGAUCCCUGGGUUGGAGCGGAAGAUGAUGACGCUACGGCCUGGGCAUGCAGACGAAAUGGUUUUCUUUUUCCCGUCUUGAAACAC